Molecule: microRNA precursor, 108 nt
Filed under: Canis lupus familiaris (dog)
Lineage: Eukaryota; Metazoa; Chordata; Mammalia; Carnivora; Canidae
Also listed under: 1 other name
Description: mir-8834 microRNA precursor family
Rfam family: mir-8834 microRNA precursor family
Source: Rfam by way of RNAcentral
AGGAGGAACAACCCCAGUGGCGGGGCCGGCUCUGGAGCCCUGGAGUCAGCUCCCACAGUAAGUAACUACAGAGCUCUCCUCUGCAGGGCCUGGAGGCUCCGGGGCGGG